AAAUAAGAAACAAAAAAUUUGUGUUUAGUUUCGACCUAAAAUAUUGGUGUGCACCACCCUUGUUUA
RNAcentral lists this transfer RNA (66 nucleotides) under Ocypus brunnipes. Its description in RNAcentral is "tRNA-Arg". The record is from RNAcentral. Lineage: Eukaryota; Metazoa; Arthropoda; Insecta; Coleoptera; Staphylinidae.